This 638-nucleotide ribosomal RNA is filed under the name Miconia xenotricha. Its description in RNAcentral is "eukaryotic LSU rRNA". The stretch from base 290 to 445 matches the Rfam family "5.8S ribosomal RNA". Lineage: Eukaryota; Viridiplantae; Streptophyta; Magnoliopsida; Myrtales; Melastomataceae. The record is from RNAcentral.
GGUUUCCGUAGGUGAACCUGCGGAAGGAUCAUUGUCGAAAUCGAACGGAAGAACGACCCGYGAAUCGUCAUUGCGUACUAGACAGAGCCCGUGAGCACCUAACGCUCAUGGGACUCGCGUCGCGUCGGCGUGGGUGUACUCGAGACCAGCGUCGUACCGGCGGACAAACAACGUCAGCACGGAUCGUGCCAAGGAGCUGCAUGGAGAGAAUCGUCGUCCCACGCCUUUGAUAGUCCUCGAUGCGGGACGGGGGGCGGGGGAUGUACGCAAUCUCUACUAAAGUCUAAACGACUCUCGGCAACGGAUAUCUCGGCUCUUGCAUCGAUGAAGAACGUAGCGAAAUGCGAUACUUGGUGUGAAUUGCAGAAUCCCGCGAACCAUCAAUUCUUUGAACGCAAGUUGCGCCCGAAGCCAUUCGGCCGAGGGCACGCCUGCCUGGGUGUCGUGAAUCCCCUUGCCCCUAGGCACCCGCAUGAGCAUUGGCGGGGAUAUAUGCUCGGGCGCAGAAUAUGGUCUCCCGUGGGAUCGGCAUGCACGGCAUGUCGAGGUGCGGUUGGCCGAAAAUCGAGCAAUGGCUGUGACGGGCACCACGGCGUUCGGUGGAUCGAAUGAGAUUGGCUGCGCCGUGGGCUCGGCAU